UCGCUUAGUAAUAACCCACACUGGGUACAUAAUUAACAUCAAUCAAAAAAAAAAAAACAUCACAUUAAAUAAAAAAUAAUAUAAAAUCCUCUGCAG
Long non-coding RNA from Sinocyclocheilus rhinocerous, 96 nucleotides. RefSeq lists it as uncharacterized. NCBI's taxonomy places the organism in Eukaryota, Metazoa, Chordata, Actinopteri, Cypriniformes, Cyprinidae. The transcript has 4 exons. The record is from RefSeq and is a predicted model, not a curated record.